Molecule: ribosomal RNA, 253 nt
Filed under: uncultured bacterium
Lineage: Bacteria
Description: partial 16S ribosomal RNA
Rfam family: Bacterial small subunit ribosomal RNA
Source: RNAcentral
UACGAAGGGGGCUAGCGUUGCUCGGAAUCACUGGGCGUAAAGGGUGCGUAGGCGGGUCUUUAAGUCAGGGGUGAAAUCCUGGAGCUCAACUCCAGAACUGCCUUUGAUACUGAGGAUCUUGAGUUCGGGAGAGGUGAGUGGAACUGCGAGUGUAGAGGUGAAAUUCGUAGAUAUUCGCAAGAACACCAGUGGCGAAGGCGGGUCUCUGGACCGAUACUGACACUGAGGAGCGAAAGCGUGGGGAGCGAACAGG